Molecule: transfer RNA, 77 nt
Filed under: Bacillota bacterium
Lineage: Bacteria; Bacillati; Bacillota
Also listed under: 2 other names
Description: tRNA-Pro(cgg)
Rfam family: tRNA
About the family: Transfer RNA (tRNA) molecules are approximately 80 nucleotides in length. Their secondary structure includes four short double-helical elements and three loops (D, anti-codon, and T loops). Further hydrogen bonds mediate the characteristic L-shaped molecular structure. tRNAs have two regions of fundamental functional importance: the anti-codon, which is responsible for specific mRNA codon recognition, and the 3' end, to which the tRNAs corresponding amino acid is attached (by aminoacyl-tRNA synthetases). tRNAs cope with the degeneracy of the genetic code in two manners: having more than one tRNA (with a specific anti-codon) for a particular amino acid; and 'wobble' base-pairing, i.e. permitting non-standard base-pairing at the 3rd anti-codon position.
Source: RNAcentral
CGGGAUGUGGCUCAGUUUGGUAGAGUACUUCGUUCGGGACGAAGGGGCCGCAGGUUCAAAUCCUGUCAUCCCGACCA